GACGAACGCUGGCGGCGUGCUUGACACAUGCAAGUCGAACGGAAAGGCCUGCUUUCCCUUGUGGAUUGCGGGUACUCGAGUGGCGAACGGGUGAGUAACACGUGAGUGAUCUGCCCCCAACUUGGGUAUAAGCCUGGGAAACUGGGUCUAAUUCCCGAUAGGACUGCAGGGUGGUGCCUGUGGUGGAAAACGAUUUUCUAGUGGUUGGGGAUGAGCUCGCGGCCUAUCAGCUUGUUGGUGGGGUAAUGGCCUACCAAGGCGGCGACGGGUAGCCGGCCUGAGAGGGUGGACGGCCACAUUGGGACUGGGAUACGGCCCGGACUCCUACGGGAGGCAGCAGUGGGGAAUAUUGCACAAUGGGCGGAAGCCUGAUGCAGCGACGCCGCGUGGGGGAUGACGGCCUUCGGGUUGUAAACUCCUUUCGACCGCGAGGAAGCCACCUGGUUGGAAGGGUGGUGACGGUAGUGGUAGAAGAAGCACCGGCUAACUACGUG
Molecule: ribosomal RNA, 494 nt
Filed under: uncultured bacterium
Lineage: Bacteria
Description: partial 16S ribosomal RNA
Rfam family: Bacterial small subunit ribosomal RNA
Source: RNAcentral